This 466-nucleotide ribosomal RNA is filed under the name Vreelandella stevensii. RNAcentral describes it as "partial 16S ribosomal RNA". It matches the Rfam family "Bacterial small subunit ribosomal RNA", at positions 338 to 795 of the family's 1533-position model. Lineage: Bacteria; Pseudomonadati; Pseudomonadota; Gammaproteobacteria; Oceanospirillales; Halomonadaceae. The record is from RNAcentral.
CCUACGGGAGGCAGCAGUGGGGAAUAUUGGACAAUGGGGGGAACCCUGAUCCAGCCAUGCCGCGUGUGUGAAGAAGGCCCUCGGGUUGUAAAGCACUUUCAGUGAGGAAGAACGCCUGGUGGUUAAUACCCAUCAGGAAAGACAUCACUCACAGAAGAAGCACCGGCUAACUCCGUGCCAGCAGCCGCGGUAAUACGGAGGGUGCGAGCGUUAAUCGGAAUUACUGGGCGUAAAGCGCGCGUAGGUGGCUUGAUAAGCCGGUUGUGAAAGCCCCGGGCUCAACCUGGGAACGGCAUCCGGAACUGUCAAGCUAGAGUGCAGGAGAGGAAGGUAGAAUUCCCGGUGUAGCGGUGAAAUGCGUAGAGAUCGGGAGGAAUACCAGUGGCGAAGGCGGCCUUCUGGACUGACACUGACACUGAGGUGCGAAAGCGUGGGUAGCAAACAGGAUUUAGAUACCCGAGUAGUC